GGCUGCCCCAUAGAGGUGACAGCUGUCCCAUGGCAGUGGUGGCUGCCCCAUAGUGGUACCAGCUGUCCCAAAGCAGUGGUGGCUGUCCCAUAGAGGGUUACCCACUAUGGGGUGGUGCUGUGGGGUGCUGUGGGGUGUCACCCGGUGCUCACUGUCCCCCCGUUUCACCCCCCGCCCGGACAAACAACGCUGGGCUCGUUUUUAAAUAAGAAUAAUUAAAAAAAAAACAAAACAAAACAAAACCGAAACGGAACAAAACCAACAGAAAAUAUCCA
RNAcentral lists this long non-coding RNA (275 nucleotides) under Gallus gallus (chicken). The record is from RNAcentral. Lineage: Eukaryota; Metazoa; Chordata; Aves; Galliformes; Phasianidae.